RNAcentral lists this ribosomal RNA (509 nucleotides) under Chamalycaeus everetti. Its description in RNAcentral is "partial 16S ribosomal RNA". It matches the Rfam family "Bacterial large subunit ribosomal RNA", at positions 1817 to 2597 of the family's 2925-position model. The record is from RNAcentral. Lineage: Eukaryota; Metazoa; Mollusca; Gastropoda; Architaenioglossa; Cyclophoridae.
GGCUCUUUGAUUGUUAAAACAUGAGGAGUCGGACCUGCCCGGUGAAGUGUUUAAACGGCUGCAGUACCCUGACUGUGCAAAGGUAGCAUAAUAACUUGCCUUUUAAUUGGAGGCUGGAAUGAAUGGUCUGACGAAAGCAUAGCUGUCUCUUUAUCUUUAACUAAAACUUAUUCUUUAGGUUUAAAAACUUAAAUCUUACUGUAGGACGAGAAGACCCUGUCGAGCUUUAAGAAAGUAGUUAACGAGCUUGGACUCUCAUGGUAAAUCUACACUUGAACUAUAGACUUUUGGUUGGGGCAACCGUGGGGGAAGAAAAACUCCCGUUUUUGAAAACAAAUGAUUUAGAUCCAUUUUGGUUGAUAAAAAGAAUUAGUUACCGCAGGGAUAACAGCGUAAUCCUCCCGGAGAGACCAUAUUGAGGGGAGAGGACUACGACCUCGAUGUUGGAUCGAAAUAUAUUGAAGGUGCAGGAGCUUUCACAAUUUGGUCUGUUCGACCAUUAAAAUUUC